GACGAACGCUGGCGGCGUGCUUAACACAUGCAAGUCGAACGGAAAGGCCCUGCUUUUGUGGGGUGCUCGAGUGGCGAACGGGUGAGUAACACGUGAGUAACCUGCCCUUGACUUUGGGAUAACUUCAGGAAACUGGGGCUAAUACCGGAUAGGAGCUCCUGCUGCAUGGUGGGGGUUGGAAAGUUUCGGCGGUUGGGGAUGGACUCGCGGCUUAUCAGCUUGUUGGUGGGGUAGUGGCUUACCAAGGCUGUGACGGGUAGCCGGCCUGGGAGGGUGACCGGCGACAUUGGGACUGAGAGACGGCCCAGACGCCUACGGGAGGCAGCAGUGGGGAAUAUUGCACAAUGGGCGGAAGCCUGAUGCAGCAACGCCGCGUGCGGGAUGACGGCCUUCGGGUUGUAAACCGCUUUCGCCUGUGACGAAGCGUGAGUGACGGUAAUGGGUAAAGAAGCACCGGCUAACUACGUG
This 468-nucleotide ribosomal RNA is filed under the name uncultured bacterium. RNAcentral's name for it is "partial 16S ribosomal RNA". It matches the Rfam family "Bacterial small subunit ribosomal RNA", at positions 28 to 507 of the family's 1533-position model. The record is from RNAcentral.